Molecule: transfer RNA, 62 nt
Filed under: Fasciola hepatica (liver fluke)
Lineage: Eukaryota; Metazoa; Platyhelminthes; Trematoda; Plagiorchiida; Fasciolidae
Description: tRNA-Ser
Source: RNAcentral
GCGUGUAAGGUUUUGUGAAUGAUUUGAAGUCAUUCUUUUCAUAUUUAUUUAUGAUGCUCGCU